Molecule: non-coding RNA, 25563 nt
Organism: Pelobates cultripes (western spadefoot toad)
Lineage: Eukaryota; Metazoa; Chordata; Amphibia; Anura; Pelobatidae
Source: the annotation of a GenBank genome assembly
CUGGAGACACUUUCCCAGCAGUCUGGAUCAAUCACUGAGAGGACAGCCUGGACUUUGUGGAGCUCUCAUACUGGCCACCCAGGGGCCCCAAAACUGCCUGAGCAGGGGCCACAGACCCCUUCUCCUCCAUGUAGGGCUCGGCCAGGACUCAGCUUGGUGGUGGGGCUUUGGGUUGGGGCUUUGGAAGGGGGUGCCAGGACUAGUUUUGGGGGGCAGACCAUGAGUGACAGGAGGAGAUCCGCAGUCACUCUCAGCUCCAGAGCUCAUGCCUUCUCGGUGGAGGCUCUGAUCGGGACAAACAAGAAGAGGAAACUCCGGGACUGGGAGGAGAAGGGCUUGGAUUUGUCCAUGGAGAGCCUGAGUCCUCAUGGAGAGCUGGGGGAAGGAGAGGACACUGCUCACUGCCUGGACCUCAACCCUGGUGAGUACCUUGCUCUGAGUGUGUCCUUUGAAACCAUUGCAGGAGAGUGUCCCUCAAAACCAUGGCAGGAGAGUGUCCUUUUAAACCAUGACAGGAGUGUGUGCCUCAAAACCAUGGGAGGAGUGUGUCCCUCAAAACCAUGGCAGGAGAGUGUCCUUUUAAACCAUGACAGGAGUGUGUGCCUCAAAACCAUGGGAGGAGUGUGUCCCUCAAAACCAUGGCAGGAGUGUGUCCCUCAAAACCAUGACAGGAGAGUGUCCUUCUAAACCAUGGCAGGAGAGUGUCCUUUUAAACCAUGACAGGAGUGUGUGCCUCAAAACCAUGGGAGGAGUGUGUCCCUCAAAACCAUGGCAGGAGUGUGUCCCUCAAAACCAUGGCAGGAGAGUGUCCUUUGAUUUAAAGCCAUUGCAGGAAUGUGUCCCUCAAAACUAUGUUAGGAGUGGGUCUAUCAAAACCAUGGCAGGAGAGUGUCCUUUGAUUUAAAGCCAUUGCAGGAAUGUGUCCCUCAAAACUAUGUUAGGAGUGGGUCUAUCAAAACCAUGGCAGGAGAGUGUCCUUUUAAACCAUGGCAGGCUGUGUCCCAUCAAACCAUGGCAGGAGCGUUUUACUCAGAUGGCCUCCAAACGGGCCUCCAUAUAACAUACAGGGAGCCAAGCAUCUCCCGGGACAUGGGAAUAGUCAGUGUAAGGUGUGGUAAGGUGCAUGUAUGUGUCAUGUAUGUGGUGUGGUGUUUCAUUUAUAUUUUCCUAAUAUUCCCCAUUCAAGUCACACUAUUUUUUUAUUAUUUACCAUAAGACUGGAUACAUUAUAUCUCCAUAUCUAUUUGUAUUUGUUAUAGAGUCCAUGUCUCUCUGUAUUACACCCUAAUAUUUGUUUUAGAGUCCAUGUCUCUCUGUAUUACACCCUAAUAUUUGUUAGGGUCCAUGUCUCUCUGUAUUACACCCUAAUAUUUGUUAUAGAGUCAAUGUCUCUCUGUAUUACACCCUAAUAUUUGUUAAAGUCCAUGUCUCUCUGUAUUACACCCUAAUAUUUGUUACAGAGUCCAUGUCUCUCUGUAUUACACCCUAAUAUUUGUUAUAGAGUCCAUGUCUCUCUGUAUUACACCCUAAUAUUUGUUAGAGUCCAUGUCUCUCUGUAUUACACCCUAAUAUUUGUUUUAGAGUCCAUGUCUCUCUGUAUUACACCCUAAUAUUUGUUUUAGAGUCCAUGUCUCUCUGUAUUACACCCUAAUAUUUGUUAGAGUCCAUGUCUCUCUGUAUUACACCCUAAUAUUUGUUAGGGUCCAUGUCUCUCUGUAUUACACCCUAAUAUUUGUUAUAGAGUCAAUGUCUCUCUGUAUUACACCCUAAUAUUUGUUUUAGAGUCCAUGUCUCUCUGUAUUACACCCUAAUAUUUGUUUUAGAGUCCAUGUCUCUCUGUAUUACACCCUAAUAUUUGUUAUAGAGUCCAUGUCUCUCUGUAUUACACCCUAAUAUUUGUUUUAGAGUCCAUGUCUCUCUGUAUUACACCCUAAUAUUUGUUUAGAGUCCAUGUCUCUCUGUAUUACACCCUAAUAUUUGUUAGAGUCCAUGUCUCUCUGUAUUACACCCUAAUAUUUGUUUUAGAGUCCAUGUCUCUCUGUAUUACACCCUAAUAUUUGUUUUAGAGUCCAUGUCUCUCUGUAUUACACCCUAAUAUUUGUUUAGAGUCCAUGUCUCUCUGUAUUACACCCUAAUAUUUGUUAGAGUCCAUGUCUCUCUGUAUUACACCCUAAUAUUUGUUUUAGAGUCCAUGUCUCUCUGUAUUACACCCUAAUAUUUGUUUUAGAGUCCAUGUCUCUCUGUAUUACACCCUAAUAUUUGUUAGAGUCCAUGUCUCUCUGUAUUACACCCUAAUAUUUGCUAGAGUCCAUGUCUCUCUGUAUUACACCCUAAUAUUUGUUUUAGAGUCCAUGUCUCUCUGUAUUACACCCUAAUAUUUGUUUUAGAGUCCAUGUCUCUCUGUAUUACACCCUAAUAUUUGUUAUAGAGUCCAUGUCUCUCUGUAUUACACCCUAAUAUUUGUUAGAGUCCAUGUCUCUCUGUAUUACACCCUAAUAUUUGUUAAAGUCCAUGUCUCUCUGUAUUACACCCUAAUAUUUGUUUUAGAGUCCAUAUGUCAGGUCACAGUGUCAGAUCCUUUAUACAUUAUAGUAUGAAUAAUAUUAUUAGUAGUAUUAUUUACUAUUAGACUGGAUACAUUCUAUCUCCAUAUCUGUUUGUACCAUCAUUUCAUAUAAUGUGUCUGUCAGUGUGUGUCUGUCAGUGUGUGUGUCAGUGUGUUUCAGUGUGUGUGUCAGUGUGUUACAGUGUGUCUGUCAGUGUGUUAGUGUGGGUAUGUCACAGUGUCUGUCAGUGUGUAACAGUGUGUCUGUCACUGUGUGUGGCAGUGUGUCUGUCAGUGUAUGUCAGUGAGUGGCAGUGUGUCUGUCAUUGUGUUAAUGUAGGUAUGUCACAGUGUCUGUCACUGUGUGUGGCAGUGUGUCUGUCAGUGUAUGUCAGUGAGUGGCAGUGUGUCUGUCAGUGUGUUAAUGUAGGUAUGUCAGACAGUGACAGUGUGUGGCAGUGUGUCUGUCAGUAUGUUAGUGUGAGUGGGACAGUGUGUCUGUCAGCGUGUCCACAGGAGUUGGCUAUAGUGCAUGUGUGUGUGUGUCUGUGCUGUUACUACUGAAUGUUUGAGUCAGCGCAUGUGCCAUUGUUAAUAAAUGUGUAUGCCAAUGAGUGCCAGGGGUAAUCAUUAUGUGUGCCAGGGAAUGCCAGUGUGAGUCUGUUGUAAGCCAGUGUUGCCAUGGAGUGCCAGUAUGAGUAUGUGUGCCAGUGUAAUCAGUAUAUGUGCUAUGGAGUGCCAGAGUCAGUGUGUGUGCCAGGGAGUGCCAGUGUCAGUGCCCGGGAGUGCCUAUGUCAGUGUGUGCCAGUGUAAUCAUGUGUGUGCCGGGAGUGCCAGUGUCAAAAUGUGUGCCAGGGAGUGUCAGUGUGUGCCGGGGAGUGCCAGUGUCAGUGUGUGUGCCAGUGUAAUCAGUGUGUGUGUGCCAGGGAGUGUCAGUGUCAGUGUGUGUGCCAGUGUAAUCAGUGUGUGUGCCAAGGAGUGCCAGUGUCAGUGUGUGUGUGCCAGGGAGUGCCAGUGUCAGUGUGUGUGCCAAUGUAAUCAGUGUGUGUGCCAGGGAGUGCCAGUGUCAGUGUGUGUGCCAGUGUCACUCAAUCUGAUUGCAUGCGAACCUUACUUCCACAGGCCCCAGUUAGUUAUAAUCUGUCUUCAAAACUGCUCAAUAUACCUCAAAACAUGGAUUUUAUAUACUUAUCAUACAUUUUAUUUGCGUUAUAAAAAAUAAAUACACAAAUUAUACUUUUUAAAAUCAUAUUAUAGCAUUGCUUGUAAAUAUAACACAUGUAAUAUAUUUUACACCUUUUAUAAAAAUGAAACCUAUGAUAGACUUCCAUAUAACAUGUGCCCGUCUGUUUAUUAUCAGUUCCCAAUAACGGAGACAGUUCUAUAGGGAGCAGAAUAAUCUCUAUAAUAAUAUCCAGUCAGUCUGGCAGUAAUGGGAGUUAUUCCUUUCUGGGGAGGGCUAUCCCUUAUAAACCUACAUUGGAGUUUGGAAAAAAUAAAUAUCAUAUAAUAUAUUAUAAUGUAAUAUAAUAUGUAAUACAAUACAAUAUACACAAUCUAGAAUAUAUCACAGAGAAUAAUACAGUAUACAGUACAUAAUAUAAUACGGUAUGUAAUGUAUAAUACAAUAUAUAACAUAGUAUAUAAAACAAUAUAUCAUACAGUAUGUAAUAUAGCAUAGAAUACAGUGUGUAGUAUAGUAUAUAGGGCAAAUUAUAUAGUAUAUAAUACAGUAUGUAAUAUAGCAUAGAAUACAGUAUUUAAUGUAAUAUAUAAUACAGCAUUUAAUAUAGUAUAUAAUACAGUAUGUAAUAUAGUUUAUAAUACAGCAUUCAAUAUAGUAUAUAAUACAGUAUUUAAUGUAAUAUAUAAUACAGCAUUUAAUAUAGUAUAUAAUACAGUAUGUAAUAUAGUAUAUAAUACAGCAUUUAAUGUAAUAUAUAAUACAGCAUUUAAUAUAGUAUAUAAUACAGUAUGUAAUAUAGUUUAUAAUACAGCAUUUAAUAUAGUAUAUAAUAAAGCAGUAAUGUAAUAUAGUUUAUAAUACAGCAUUUAAUAUAGUAUAUAAUAAAGCAUUUAAUGUAAUAUAUAAUACAGCAUUUAAUAUAGUAUAUAAUACAUGUAUAAUAUAGUAUAUAAUAAAGUAUGUAAUAUAGCAUAUAAUACAGCAUUUAAUAUAGUAUAUAAUACAUGUAUAAUAUAGCAUAUAAUACAGUAUGUAAUAUAGUAUAUAAUACAGCAUUUAAUGUAAUAUAUAAUACAGUAUGUAAUAUAGUAUAUAAUACAGCAUUUAAUAUAGUAUAUAAUACAGUAUUUAAUAUAGUAUAUAAUACAGCAUUUAAUAUAGUAUAUAAUACAUGUAUAAUAUAGUAUAUAAUACAGUAUGUAAUAUAGUAUAUAAUACAGCAUUUAAUGUAAUAUAUAAUACAGCAUUUAAUAUAGUAUAUAAUACAGUAUUUAAUAUAGUAUAUAAUACAGUAUGUAAUAUAGUAUAUAAUACAGUAUGUAAUUUAGUUUAUAAUACGGCAUUUCAUGUAGUAUAUAAUACAUAUAUAAUAUAGUAUAUAAUACAGCAUUUAAUAUAGUAUAUAAUACAGUAUGUAAUAUAGUAUAUAAUACAGUAUGUAAUAUAGUUUAUAAUACUGGCAUUUCAUGUAGUAUAUAAUACAUGUAUAAUAUAGUAUAUAAUACAGCAUUUAAUGUAAUAUAUAAUACAGCAUUUAAUAUAGUAUAUAAUACAGUAUGUAAUAUAGUAUAUAAUACAGUAUGUAAUAUAGUAUAUAAUACAGUAUGUAAUUUAGUUUAUAAUACGGCAUUUCAUGUAGUAUAUAAUACAUGUAUAAUAUAGUAUAUAAUACAGUAUGUAAUAUAGUUUAUAAUACGGCAUUUCAUGUAGUAUAUAAUACAUGUAUAAUAUAGUAUAUAAUAUGUAUAUAAUGUUGUCAUUCUCCUGAAUUCACCAAUUCCUUAAUAUCUGAUUGUCCGUUCCAUUUCUUGUUACAUUUUAUUUGUAUUUAAUGGGUUAGGGAUUCUAUAUAUUUGUGAUAUUUUAUAAAUUCAGUGUCAGAGCUAGCACUUUAUUCUGAUUUUAUAUUCACAUGAUGGUUUGUUUACGGUAAGAAUGUGAUAUUUGUGCUAAAUAUUUAGAAGCGGUAUAAACAAUACUGGGGAUUUUACAUCGUUCUAAUGGGAUACCGUGUGUUCUGUAUCUGUGUUUUAAGUUAUUACAAAAGCAGGAGUAUUUUUAAUACUUUAUGAUAUAUGUAGUGUGUUUUAAUAUAUUAUAUUACACAGUGUCCUCCUAUUAUAAUAUAUUAUAAAAUAUGUAGUGUAUUGUAGUAUAUUAUAUUACACAGUGUCCUCGUCUUAUAAUAUAUUAUAAAAUAUGUAGUGUGUUUUAGUAUAUUAUAUUACAGUGUAUUUGUGUUAUAAUAUAUUAUAAAAUAUGUAGAGUGUUUUAAUAUAUUACAUUACACAGUGUCCUCGUGUUAUAAUAUAAUAUCGGAGUGUGAUUUAAUAGAUUGUAUUACACAGUAUCCUUGUGUUAAAAUAUCUGAGUGUGAUUUAAUAUAUUGUAUUACACAGUAUCCUUGUGUUAAAAUAUCUGAGUGUGAUUUAGUAUAUUAUAUUACAGUGUCCUCCUGUUAUAAUAUAUUAUAAAGUAUGUAGUGUGUUUUAGUAUAUUAUAUUUCAGUGCCCUCGUGUUAUAAUAUAUUAUAAAAUAUGUUGUGUGAUUUAAUAUAUUGUAUUACACAGUGCCCUAGUGUUAUUAUAUAAUUUCUGGGUGUGAUUUAAUAUAUUGUAUUACACAGUGCCCUAGUGUUAUUAUAUAAUUUCUGGGUGUGAUUUAAUAUAUUAUAUUACACAGUGUCCUCGUAUUAUAAUAUAAUAUCUGAGUGUGAUUUAAUAGAUUGUAUUACACAGAGUCCUCGUGUUAUAAUAUAAUAUCGGAGUGUGAUUUAAUAUAUUGUAUUACACAGUGUCCUCGUGUUAUAAUAUAAUAUCGGAGUGUGAUUUAAUAUAUUGUAUUACACAGUGCCCUAGUGUUAUUAUAUAAUUUCUGGGUGUGAUUUAAUAUAUUAUAUUACACAGUGUCCUCGUAUUAUAAUAUAAUAUCUGAGUGUGAUUUAAUAGAUUGUAUUACACAGAGUCCUCGUGUUAUAAUAUAAUAUCGGAGUGUGAUUUAAUAUAUUGUAUUACACAGUGUCCUCGUGUUAUAAUAUAAUAUCGGAGUGUGAUUUAAUAUAUUGUAUUACACAGUGCCCUAGUGUUAUUAUAUAAUUUCUGGGUGUGAUUUAAUAUAUUAUAUUACACAGUGUCCUCGUAUUAUAAUAUAAUAUCGGAGUGCGAUUUAGCAUAUUAUAUUACAGUGUCCUCGUGUUAUAAUAUUUAUGGAGUGCGGUAUAUUAUAUCAUUAUAUUAUAGUGUCGUGUUAUAAUAUAAUAUCGGAGUGUGAUUUAAUAUAUUGUAUUACACAGUGUCCUCCUGUUAUAAUAUUUAUGGAGUGCAGUAUAUUAUAUGAUUAUAUUAUAGUAUCGUUUUGGAAUAUAGAGAGUGUGUGUUAUAUUAAUACAUAUGGAGUGUGCCUUCUCGCAUUAUAAUAUAUUAUAAUAUAUGAGUGGGAUUUAAUAAAUCACAAUAUAAUGUUAUCCCUGACAUGUAACAUACAGGGACAGGAAUCUAUAGGUAUAUUUAGGAAGUGAUUUAGGUGAUAUAAUAUGGUUGUGUAUAUUGUUUAUUUAUCAUAGUAUAUCGGUGAUUAUAUACUGCGGUCUAUUCAAUAAAAUUCGGUAAAACUGUCGAUUUUUUUCCCAGCUAAAAAUUCUGGCCUGCAUUUCAAGUGAGAUUUAACAGAAUACUCAAUAGGUCUGUGUUAGAAUCUCCUGAGCUGCUGAGGGAUAUAUUAUUUAUAAUAUACACAAAGCGGUUUAUAUAUACUUUGUAUCUUAUGUUUAGCUGAUUGUCAUAGCGUGACUGUUUAUCUAUAUAAUAAUCCACAUUAAUCUGUAUAGAGAGACUGUGUAUAUAUAAAGUCACUCAUUUAAUAUUGAUUUAUGUUAUAUCACACAUUAAAUUUAUAUAUUGACUGUGUGUAAGCAAUACAUCACUUAUGUAAUAUCUGUAUAUAUUACACGUUUAAUCUAUAGACUGUGUGCGUGUAAUAUAUCACUCAUUUAAUAUCUGUAUAUAUUACACGUUUAAUCUAUAAACUGUGUACAUGUAAUAUAUCACUCAGUUAAUACCUGUAUUUAUUAAACGUUUAAUCUAUAGACUGUGUACAUGUAAUAUAUCACUCAGUUAAUAUCUGUAUAUAUUACACGUUUAAUCUAUAGACUGUGUACAUGUAAUAUAUCACUCAGUUAAUAUCUGUAUAUAUUACACGUUUAAUCUAUAGACUGUGUACAUGUAAUAUAUCACUCAGUUAAUAUCUGUAUAUAUUACACGUUUAAUCUAUAGACUGUGUACAUGUAAUAUAUCACUCAUUUAAUAUCUGUAUAUAUUACACGUUUAAUCUAUAAACUGUGUACAUGUAAUAUAUCACUCAGUUAAUAUCUGUAUAUAUUACACGUUUAAUCUAUAGACUGUGUACAUGUAAUAUAUCACUCAUUUAAUAUCUGUAUAUAUUACACGUUUAAUCUAUAAACUGUGUGCGUGUAAUAUAUCACUCAUUUAAUAUCUGUAUAUAUUUCACGUUUAAUCUAUAGACUAUGUGCAUGUAAUAUAUCACUCAUUUAAUAUCUGUAUAUAUUACACAUGUAAUCUAUAGACUGUACUGUAUCACUCAUUUAAUAUCUGUAUAUAUUACACAUUUAAUCUAUAGACUGUGUACAUGUAAUAUAUCACUCAUUUAAUAUCUCUAUAUAUUACACGUGUAACCUAUAGAUUGUGUACAUAUGAUAUAUCACUCAUUUAAUAUCUCUAUAUAUUACAAGUAUAAUCUAUAGACUGUGUACAUGUAAUGUAUCUCUCAUUUAAUAUCUCUAUAUAUUACACUUUUAAUAUUACAUGUUUAAUCUAUAGACUGUGUACAUGUAAUGUAUCACAGAUAGGGGGUAUCACACCGGGGGUAUCACACCGAACACAUAGUGACUGUAUUAAAUAAUAUGCAAAGUGAUAUUACCAUAUUAGAAUGAUGUAAUUAGAAUGUAGCAGAGAGUAUAAAAUGUAAUAUGUAUCUAUAUAUAUAUAUAUAUAUAAAAUGUGUACUAUUUAUGCUAGGUAUAUUAUAAAAAUCGGGAAUGUGUGUAUACAGAGGAAGAGGUAUCAUUAUUAUAUUAUUACACUAGGCAGUUAAUGUAAAGCACAUGAUAUAUUUAACCUCUCAAGGACCAAAUUUAUGGAAUAAAAGGGAAUCAUGUCAUGUGUCCUUAAAGGGUUAAACGCCCGGAGAUUAUUAUAUUAUUACAUCAGUGAGUUAAUAUAAAACAGUUGAAGUAUUUAAUAUUAAUUCAUACUUUUAUUAGUGAGUUAACAGCAUUUAGGAUAUUCUGGGACAUUAUUAUAGCAAUGAUUUAAUUUACUGUAUUUAAAUACUGUGCUAUUAUUAUUAUUAUUAUUAUUGCCAUUUAUAUAGCGCCAACAGAUUCCGUAGCGCUUUACAAUAUUAUGCAAGGGGAUUUAACUAUAAAUAGGACAAUUACAAAUAAACUUACAGGAACAAUAGGUUGAAGAGGACCCUGCUCAAUUGAGCUUACAUUCUAUAGGAGGUGGGGAGUAAAACAUAUUAGGACAGGAAUGUGCAAUCAAAUAAGGUGGGCUGCCCUUUAGGAGAGGGCAAGAGAUGGGUAUGUGAGGUAGGGGUUAGUCUUGGAGGCCAUAAGCUUUCCUAAAGAGAUGGGUUUUAAGGCACUUCUUAAAAGAUGCAAGACUAGGGGAUAGUCGGAUGGCGGUAGGCAGGCUAUUCCAUAGGAAGGGAACCGCCCGCGAGAAGUCCUGCAAGCGCGAGUUGGCCGUACGGGUGCGGACAACGGACAGGAGCUGGUCACGGGCAGAGCGGAGAGACCGAGGAGGGACAUGCCUAUGGAUCUGUGAGGAGAUAUAAGAGGGGCUAGAGUUGUUCAGUGCUUUAUAGGUGUGAGUUAGUGCCUUGAAUUGACUCCUAUAGCACACAGGAAGCCAAUGUAAGGACUGGCAGAGGGGUGAGGUGUGAGAGAACCGACUAGAGAGGAAAAUCAGUCUAGCAGCAGCAUUCAUUAUAGACUGUAGGGGUGCAGUACGGCUUUUGGGUAGACCAAGCAGGAGAGGGUUACAAUAAUCCAUGCAACUUGUUAUAUUAUUGCACCAAUUAAUAUAUUAAUGAGUAAAAAAAUGCAGUUAAUGUAUUUAACCACUGGGAGAUUGUAUUAUUAUAUGGUUGAGUUAUUUUAAUAAAGUUGGGGUAUUACAACACUGGGAUAGGUUUUAUUAUUACAUGAUUGAGAUAAUAGAAUGUAGUUGGGGUAUUACAACACUGGGAUAGGUUUUAUUAUUACAUGAUUGAGAUAAUAGAAUGUAGUUGGGAUAUUACAACACUGGGAUAGUUUUAUUAUUACAUGAUUGAGAUAAUAGAAUGUAGUUGGGGUAUUACAACACUGAUAUAGGUUUUAUUAUUACAUGAUUGAGAUAAUAGAAUGUAGUUGGGGUAUUACAACACUGGGAUAGGUUUUAUUAUUACAUGAUUGAGAUAAUAGAAUGUAGUUGGAGUAUUACAACACUGGAUAUAGGUUUUAUUAUUACAUGAUUGAGAUAAUAGAAUGUAGUUGGGGUAUUACAACACUGGGAUAGGUUUUAUUAUUACAUGAUUGAGAUAAUAGAAUGUAGUUGGGGUAUUACAACACUGGGAUAGGUUUUAUUAUUACAUGAUUGAGAUAAUAGAAUGUAGUUGGGGUAUUACAACACUGGGAUAGGUUUUAUUAUUACAUGAUUGAGAUAAUAGAAUGUAGUUGGGGUAUUACAACACUGAUAUAGGUUUUAUUAUUACAUGAUUGAGAUAAUAGAAUGUAGUUGGGGUAUUACAACACAUGAUUGAGAUAAUAGAAUGUAGUUGGGAUAGGUUUUAUUAUUACAUGAUUGAGAUAAUAGAAUGUAGUUGGGGUAUUACAACACUGAUAUAGGUUUUAUUAUUACAUGAUUGAGAUAAUAGAAUGUAGUUGGGGUAUUACAACACUGGGAUAGGUUUUAUUAUUACAUGAUUGAGAUAAUAGAAUGUAGUUGGGAUAUUACAACACUGAUAUAGGUUUUAUUAUUACAUGAUUGAGAUAAUAGAAUGUAGUUGGGAUAUUACAACACUGGGAUAGGUUUUAUUAUGACAUGAUUGAGAUAAUAGAAUGUAGUUGGGAUAUUACAACACUGGGAUAGGUUUUAUUAUGACAUGAUUGAGAUAAUAGAAUGUAGUUGGGGUAUUACAACACUGGGAUAGGUUUUAUUAUGACAUGAUUGCGAUAAUAGAAUGUAGUUGGGGUAUUACAACACUGGGAUAGGUUUUAUUAUGACAUGAUUGAGAUAAUAGAAUGUAGUUGGGGUAUUACAACACUGGGAUAGGUUUUAUUAUGACAUGAUUGAGAUAAUAGAAUGUAGUUGGGGUAUUACAACACUGAUAUAGGUUUUAUUAUUACAUGAUUGAGAUAAUAGAAUGUAGUUGGGGUACUACAACACUGGGAUAUUGGUGUUUAGUUCAUUACCUGUAGAAUGUCUAAUGUAUUGCAUUUCUAAAACAAGUUGAGAAUAGAAAUAAAAUAAACCCGGUUUUAGGGCUGUGAGGGGGAAGCCUAUUAUCGCAGAGCUGUAUAAAUCCUGUAUAGAGAUCUGUAGGUAUCGCUAUAUAUUUACUAAAAAAGGGUUGCUGGGAAAUCGAAGUUCAUUUAAAAGUUCAUCCAAAAUAGUUAAACUACAAAAAUCCAAAUCGAAUAACUUGGCCUCAAACUUUAAAUUUACUUUGAAUUCUCAACAAUUGUCAUUAGAGGGGUAAUUUACUAAUGUAAGAAAUCAACGUGAAUUUCAAAUUCAAGGCCAGAGCAGCCAAACUGGAGAACUUACACAGGCUGGUUGUUUUGACAUUAAAAUUGGAAUUCAAUUUGAAGUAUCACUUCAGAAAAUAUCCCAGUUAUUAGUAAAUAUCCCAAUUAUUAAUAAAUAUCCCAGUUAUUAGUAAAUAUCCCAGUUAUUAAUAAAUAUCCCAGUUAUUAGUAAAUAUCCCAGUUAUUAAUAAAUAUCCCAGUUAUUAGUAAAUAUCCCAAUUAUUAGUAAAUAUUUCUGUUAUUAGUAAAUAUCUCUGUUAUCAGUAAAUAUCCCAAUUAUUAGUAAAUAUCUCUGUUAUCAGUAAAUACCCCAGUUAUUAGUAAAUAUUUCUGUUAUUAGUAAAUAUCACAGUUAUUAGUAAAUAUCCCAGUUAUUACUAAAUAUCACUGUUAUUACUAAAUAUCACAGGUAUUAGUAAAUAUCUCUGUUCUUAGUAAAUAUCCCAGUUAUUGAUAAAUAUCUCUGUUAUUAGUGGUCACACUGAGUGAUAUACAGAGUGCAGUUAUGGUCACACGGAGUGUUGUGUUAUACAGAGUGCAGUUAUGGUCACCGUCAGUGUUAUACAGAGUGCAGUUAUGGUCACACUGAGUGUUAUACAGAGUGCAGUUAUGGUCACACUCAGUGUUAUACAGAGUGCAGUUAUGGUCACCGUCAGUGUUAUACAGAGUGCAGUUAUGGUCACAGUCAGUGUUAUACAGAGUGCAGUUAUGGUCACACUGAGUGUUAUACAGAGUGCAGUUAUGGUCACAGUCAGUGUUAUACAGAGUGCAGUUAUGGUCACUGUCAGUGUUAUACAGAGUGCAGUUAUGGUCACAGUCAGUGUUAUACAAUGUAUCAAAAUGGUACAGUGAUACUCGAAAUUAGCAAUAUGGUCACAAAAGUGUUAUACAGAGUGCAUUAUGGUAACAGGGGUGUUAUAUAUGAGAUAGCAUGGUCACAGUCAGUGUUAUACAGAGUGCAGUAUGUCACACUGAGAUUAUAUGGAGUGCAGUUCUGGUCAACUGAAAUUCCACAAGUCAGUUAUGAAUAUUACAUGCAAUCAAUAAAACAAGGAGUGUACAUAGAACAAUAUUGGACCUCUGAAACGUAUAAGCAUGCAUAUGGUCUCAGUACUUGGUUUGGGCCCCUUUUGCAGCAAUUACUGCCUUAAUGCGGCGUGGCAUGGAAGCUAUCAGCCUGUGGCACUGCUGAGGUGUUAUGGAAGACCAGGAUGCUUCAAUAGCGGCAUUCAACUCUUCUGCAUUGUUCGGUCUCAUGUCUCUCAUCUUUCUCUUGGCAAUGCCCCAUAGAUUCUCCAUGGGGUUCAGGUCAGGCGAGUUAGCUAGCCAAUCAAGCACAGUAGUCCCACGGUCAUUGAACCAGGCUUUGGUGCUUUUGGCAGUGUCAGCAUCCCCAUAAAGCUUGUCUGUGGAAGGAAGCAUUAGGUGCUCCAAAAUCUCCAGGUAGACAGCUGCAUUGACCCUGGACUUAAUGAAGCACAGUGGACCAACACCAACAGAUGACACCAAGUCAACACAGACUGUGGAAACUUCACACUGGACUUCAAGCAUCUUGCAGUGUGUGCCUCUCCAUUCUUCGUCCAUUCUUUCCAAAUGAGAUGCAAAAGUUGCUCUCAUCAGAAAAGAGGACUUUGGACCACUGAGCAACAGACCAGGUCUGUUUUUCUUUAGCCCAGGUAAGAUGCUUCUGACAUUGUUUGUUGUUCAGGAGCGGCUUGACAAGAGGAAUACGACAUCUGAAGCCCAUGUCCAGGAUCUGUCUGUGUGUGGUGGCUCUUGAUGCACUGACUCCAGCCUCAGUCCACUCCUUGUGAAAGUCCACAACACAUUUGAAUGGCCUUUUCCUGACAAUCCUCUCCAGGCUGCGGUCAUCCCUGCUGCUUGUGCACCUUUUUCUUCCAUACGUUUCCCUUCCACAGAUCUUUCUAUUAAUGUGCUUUGAUACAGCACUUUGGGAACAUCCAACUUCCUUCGCAAUUACCUUUUGAGGCUUUCCCUCCUUAUGGAGGGUGUCAGUGAUGGUUUUCUGCACAACUGUCAGGUCAGCAGUCUUCCCCAUGAUUGUGAUUCCUACUGAACCAGACUGAGAGACCAUUUAAAGGCUCAGAAACCCUUUGCAGGUGUUAUGGCUUACUGAGCUGAUUAGAGUGGGACACUGUGAGCCUAGAAUAUUGCACCUUUUCACAAUAUUCUAAUUUACUGAGAUUGUGGAUUUGGGGUUUUCAUGAGCUGUAAGCCAUAAUCAUCGCACUUAUGACAAAUCACGGCUUGAACUAUCUUGCUUUGCAUGUAAUGCGUCUAUCUCAUAUAUUAGUUUCCCCUUUUACGUUGCAUUACUGAAAUAAAUGAACAUUUGCACGAAAUUCGAAUUUUUUGAGUAUCAGCUAUAUGUGUCUGCAUGUGAUAUAUAACUGGACUAUAUGUGUCUGUAUGUGAUAUAUAACUGAGCUAUAUGUGUCUGUAUGUGAUAUAUUACUGGACUAUAUGUGUCUGUAUGUGAUAUAUAACUGAGCUAUAUGUGUCUGUAUGUGAUAUAUAACUGAGCUAUAUGUGUCUGUAUGUGAUAUAUUACUGGACUAUAUGUGUCUGUAUGUGAUAUAUAACUGGGCUAUAUGUGUCUGUAUGUGAUGAUAUAUAACUGGGCUAUAUGUGUCUGUAUGUGAUAUAUAACUGAGUUAUAUGUGUCUGUAUGUGAUAUAUAACUGGACUAUAUGUGUCUGUAUGUGAUAUAUAACUGGGCUAUAUGUGUCUGUAUGUGAUGAUAUAUAACUGGGCUAUAUGUGUCUGUAUUUGAUAUAUAAGUGGGCUAUAUGUGUCUGUAUGUGACAUAUAACUGAGCUAUAUGUGUCUGUAUUUGAUUUAUAACUGAACUAUAUGUGUCUGUAUGUAAUAUAUAACUGAGUUAUAUGUGUCUGUAUGUGAUAUAUUACUGGACUAUAUGUGUCUGUAUGUGAUAUAUAACUGGGCUAUAUGUGUCUGUAUGUGAUAUAAAACUGAGCUACAUGUGUCUGUAUGUGAUAUAUAACUGGGCUACAUGUGCCUGUAUGUGAUAUAUAACUGGGCUAUAUGUGUCUGUAUGUGAUAUAUAACUGGCUAUAUGUGUCUGUAUUUGAUUUAUAACUGGCUAUAUGUGUCUGUAUGUGAUAUAUUACUGAGUUAUAUGUGUCUGUAUGUGAUAUAUAAGUGGGUUAUAUGUGUCUGUAUUUGAUUUAUAACUGGCUAUAUGUGUCUGUAUGUGAUAUAUAACUGAGCUAUAUGUGUCUGUAUGUGAUAUAUAACUGGCUAUAUGUGUCUGUAUGUGAUAUAUAACUGAGCUAUAUAUGUCUGUAUGUGAUAUAUAACUGGCUAUAUGUGUCUGUAUGUGAUAUAUAACUGAGCUAUAUGUGUCUGUAUGUGAUAUAUAACUGGGCUAUAUGUGUCUGUAUGUGAUAUAUAACUGGCUAUAUGUGUCUGUAUGUGAUAUAUAACUGGCUAUAUGUGUCUGUAUGUGAUAUAUAACUGCGCUAUAUAUGUCUGUAUGUGAUAUAUAACUGCGCUAUAUGUGUCUGUAUGUGAUGUAAAACUGGGCUAUAUGUGUCUGUGAUAUAUAAGUGGGCUAUAUAUGUCUGUAUUUGAUUUAUAACUGGCUAUAUGUGUCUGUAUGUGAUAUAUUACUGAGCUAUAUGUGUCUGUAUGUAAUAUAUAACUGGGCUAUAUGUGUCUGUAUGUGAUAUAUUACUGGACUAUAUGUGUCUGUAUGUGACAUAACUGGGCUAUAUGUGUCUGUAUGUAAUAUAUAAGUUGGCUAAAUAAAUCUGUAUUUGAUUUAUAACUGGCUAUAUGUCUCUGUAUGUGAUAUAUAACUGAGUUAUAUGUGUCUGUAUGGGAUAUAUAAGUGGGCUAUAUGUGUCUGUAUGUGAUAUAUUACUGGACUAAUAUGUGGGCUAUAUGUGUCUGUAUGUGAUAUAUUACUGGACUAUAUGUGUCUGUAUGUGAUAUAUAACUGAGCUAUAUGUGUCUGUAUGUAAUAUAUAACUGGGCUAUAUGUGUCUGUAUGUGAUAUAUUACUGGACUAUAUGUGUCUGUAUGUGAUAUAUAACUGAGCUAUAUGUGUCUGUAUGUGAUAUAUUACUGGACUAUAUGUGUCUGUAUGUGAUAUAUAACUGAGUUAUAUGUGUCUGUAUGGGAUAUAUAACUGGGCUAUAUGUGUCUGUAUGUGAUAUAUUACUGGACUAUACAGGGAGUGCAGAAUUAUUAGGCAAGUUGUAUUUUUGAGGAUUAAUUUUAUUAUUGAACAACAACCAUGUUCUCAAUGAACCCAAAAAACUCAUUAAUAUCAAAGCUGAAUAUUUUUGGAAGUAGUUUUUAGUUUGUUUUUAGUUAUAGCUAUGUUAGGGGGAUAUCUGUGUGCAGGUGACUAUUACUGUGCAUAAUUAUUAGGCAACUUAACAAAAAACAAAUAUAUACCCAUUUCAAUUAUUUAUUAUUACCAGUGAAACCAGUAUAACAUCUCAACAUUCACAAAUAUACAUUUCUGAUAUUCAAAAACAAAACAAAAACAAAUCAGUGACCAAUAUAGCUACCUUUCUUUGCAAGGACACUCAAAAGCCUGCCAUCCAUGGAUUCUGUCAGUGUUUUGAUCUGUUCACCAUCAACAUUGCGUGCAGCAGCAACCACAGCCUCCCAGACACUGUUCAGAGAGGUGUACUGUUUUCCUCCUUGUAAAUCUCACAUUUGAUGAUGGACCGCAGGUUCUCAAUGGGGUUCAGAUCAGGUGAACAAGGAGGCCAUGUCAUUAGAUUUUCUUCUUUUAUACCCUUUCUUGCCAGCCACGCUGUGGAGUACUUGGACGCGUGUGAUGGAGCAUUGUCCUGCAUGAAAAUCAUGUUUCUUGAAGGAUGCAGACUUCUUCCUGUACCACUGCUUGAAGAAGGUGUCUUCCAAGAACUGGCAGUAGGACUGGGAGUUGAGCUUGACUCCAUCCUCAACCCGAAAAGGCCCCACAAGCUCAUCUUUGAUGAUACCAGCCCAAACCAGUACUCCACCUCCACCUUGCUGGCGCCUGAGUCGGACUGGAGCUCUCUGCCCUUUACCAAUCCAGCCACGGCCCAUCCAUCUGGCCCAUCAAGACUCACUCUCAUUUCAUCAGUCCAUAAAACCUUAGAAAAAUCAGUCUUGAGAUAUUUCUUGGCCCAGUCUUGACGUUUCAGCUUGUGUGUCUUGUUCAGUGGUGGUCGUCUUUCAGCCUUUCUUACCUUGGCCAUGUCUCUGAGUAUUGCACACCUUGUGCUUUGGGCACUCCAGUGAUGUUGCAGCUCUGAAAUAUGGCCAAACUGGUGGCAAGUGGCAUCGUGGCAGCUGCACGCUUGACUUUUCUCAGUUCAUGGACAGUUAUUUUGCGCCUUGGUUUUUCCACACGCUUCUUGCAACCCUGUUGACUAUUUUGAAUGAAACGCUUGAUUGUUCGAUGAUCACGCUUCAGAAGCUUUGCAAUUUUAAGAGUGCUGCAUCCCUCUGCAAGAUAUCUCACUAUUUUUGACUUUUCUGAGCCUGUCAAGUCCUUCUUUGGACCCAUUUUGCCAAAGGAAAGGAAGUUGCCUAAUAAUUAUGCACACCUGAUAUAGGGUGUUGAUGUCAUUAGACCACACCCCUUCUCAUUACAGAGAUGCACAUCACCUAAUAUGCUUAAUUGGUAGUAGGCUUUCGAGCCUAUACAGCUUGGAGUAAGACAACAUGCAUAAAGAGGAUGAUGUGGUCAAAAUACUCAUUUGCCUAAUAAUUCUGCACUCCCUGUAUGUGUCUGUAUGUGACAUAUAACUGAGCUAUAUGUGUCUGUAUUUGAUUUAUAACUGAGCUAUAUGUGUCUGUAUGUAAUAUAUAACUGAGUUAUAUGUGUCUGUAUGUGAUAUAUUACUGGACUAUAUGUGUCUGUAUGUGAUAUAUAACUGGGCUAUAUGUGUCUGUAUGUGAUAUAAAACUGAGCUACAUGUGUCUGUAUGUGAUAUAUAACUGGGCUAUAUGUGCCUGUAUGUGAUAUAUAACUGGGCUAUAUGUGUCUGUAUGUGAUAUAUAACUGGCUAUAUGUGUCUGUAUUUGAUUUAUAACUGAGCUAUAUGUGUCUGUAUGUAAUAUAUAACUGAGUUAUAUGUGUCUGUAUGUGAUAUAUUACUGGACUAUAUGUGUCUGUAUGUGAUAUAAAACUGAGCUACAUGUGUCUGUAUGUGAUAUAUAACUGGGCUAUAUGUGUCUGUAUGUGAUAUAUUACUGAGUUAUAUGUGUCUGUAUGUGAUAUAUAAGUGGGUUAUAUGUGUCUGUAAUUGAUUUAUAACUGGCUAUAUGUGUCUGUAUGUGAUAUAUAACUGAGCUAUAUGUGUCUGUAUGUGAUAUAUAACUGAGCUAUAUAUGUCUGUAUGUGAUAUAUAACUGGCUAUAUGUGUCUGUAUGUGAUAUAUAACUGAGCUAUAUGUCUGUAUGUGAUGAUAUAUAACUGGCUAUAUGUGUCUGUAUGUGAUAUAUAACUGCGCUAUAUAUGUCUGUAUGUGAUAUAUAACUGCGCUAUAUGUGUCUGUAUGUGAUGUAAAACUGGGCUAUAUGUGUCUGUGAUAUAUAAGUGGGCUAUAUAUGUCUGUAUUUGAUUUAUAACUGGCUAUAUGUGUCUGUAUGUGAUAUAUUACUGAGCUAUAUGUGUCUGUAUGUAAUAUAUAACUGGGCUAUAUGUGUCUGUAUGUGAUAUAUUACUGGACUAUAUGUGUCUGUAUGUGACAUAACUGGGCUAUAUGUGUCUGUAUGUAAUAUAUAAGUUGGCUAAAUAAAUCUGUAUUUGAUUUAUAACUGGCUAUAUGUCUCUGUAUGUGAUAUAUAACUGAGUUAUAUGUGUCUGUAUGGGAUAUAUAAGUGGGCUAUAUGUGUCUGUAUGUGAUAUAUUACUGGACUAAUAUGUGGGCUAUAUGUGUCUGUAUGUGAUAUAUUACUGGACUAUAUGUGUCUGUAUGUGAUAUAUAACUGAGCUAUAUGUGUCUGUAUGUAAUAUAUAACUGGGCUAUAUGUGUCUGUAUGUGAUAUAUUACUGGACUAUAUGUGUCUGUAUGUGAUAUAUAACUGAGCUAUAUGUGUCUGUAUGUGAUAUAUUACUGGACUAUAUGUGUCUGUAUGUGAUAUAUAACUGAGUUAUAUGUGUCUGUAUGGGAUAUAUAACUGGGCUAUAUGUGUCUGUAUGUGAUAUAUUACUGGACUAUAUGUGUCUGUAUGUGACAUAUAACUGGGCUAUAUGUGUCUGUAUGUGAUAUAUUACUGGACUAUAUGUGUCUGUAUGUGAUAUAUAAGUGGGCUAUAUGUGUCUGUAUUUGAUUUAUAACUGAGCUAUAUGUGUCUGUAUGUAAUAUAUAACUGAGUUAUAUGUGUCUGUAUGUGAUAUAUUACUGCACUAUAUGUGUCUGUAUUUGAUAUAUAACUGGGCUACAUGUGUCUGUAUGUGAUAUAUAAGUGGGCUAAAUAUAUCUGUAUUUGAUUUAUAACUGGCUAUAUGUCUCUGUAUGUGAUAUAUAACUGAGUUAUAUGUGUCUGUAUGUGAUAUAUUACUGCACUAUAUGUGUCUGUAUUUGAUAUAUAACUGGGCUACAUGUGUCUGUAUGUGAUAUAUAAGUGGGCUAAAUAUAUCUGUAUUUGAUUUAUAACUGGCUAUAUGUCUCUGUAUGUGAUAUAUAACUGAGUUAUAUGUGUCUGUAUUUGAUUUAUAACUAGCUAUAUGUGUCUGUAUGUGAUAUAUAACUGGGCUAUAUGUGUCUGUAUUUGAUUUAUAACUAGCUAUAUGUGUCUGUAUGUGAUAUAUAACUGAGCAAUAUGUGUCUGUAUGUGAUAUAUAACUGGGCUAUAUGUGUCUUUAUGUGAUAUAUAACUGAGCUAUAUGUGUCUGUAUUUGAUUUAUAACUGGCUAUAUGUGUCUGUAUGUGAUAUAUAACUGAGUUAUAUGUGUCUGUAUGUGAUAUAUAACUGGGCUAUAUGUGUCUGUAUGUAAUAUAUAACUGGGCUAUAUGUGUCUGUAUGUGACAUAUAACUGGGCUAUAUGUGUCUGUAUGUGACAUAUAACUGGGCUACAUGUGUCUGUAUGUGAUAUAUAAGUGGGCUAAAUAUGUGUCUGUAUGUGAUAUAUAACUGAGCUAUAUGUGUCUGUAUUUGAUUUAUAACUGGCUAUAUGUGUCUGUAUGUGAUAUAUAACUGGGCUAUAUGUGUCUGUAUGUGAUAUAUAACUGCGCUAUAUAUGUCUGUAUGUGAUAUAUAACUGCGCUAUAUGUGUCUGUAUGUGAUGUAAAACUGGGCUUUAUGUGUCUGUGAUAUAUAAGUGGGCUAUAUGUGUCUGUAUGUGAUAUAUAACCGGCUAUAUGUGUCUGUAUGUAAUAUAUAACUGGGCUAUAUGUGUCUGUAUGUGACAUAUAACUGGGCUAUAUGUGUCUGUAUGCGACAUAUAACUGGGCUACAUGUGUCUGUAUGUGAUAUAUAAGUGGGCUAAAUAUGUGUCUGUAUGUGAUAUAUAACUGAGCUAUAUGUGUCUGUAUUUGAUUUAUAACUGGCUAUAUGUGUCUGUAUGUGAUAUAUAACUGAGUUAUAUGUGUCUGUAUGUGAUAUAUAACUGGGCUAUAUGUGUCUAUAUGUGAUGUAUAACUGGGCUAUAUGUGUCUAUAUGUGAUAUAUAACUGGGCUAUAUGUGUCUGUAUGUGAUAUAUUACUGAGUUAUAUGUGUCUGUAUGUGAUAUAUAAGUGGGCUAUAUGUGUCUGUAUUUGAUUUAUAACUGGCUAUAUGUGUCUGUAUGUGAUAUAUUACUGAGUUAUAUGUGUCUGUAUGUGAUAUAUAAGUGGGCUAUAUGUGUCUGUAUGUGAUAUAUAACUGAGCAAUAUGUGUCUGUAUGUGAUAUAUAACUGGACUAUAUGUGUCUGUAUGUGAUAUAUAACUGAGCAAUAUGUGUCUGUAUGUGAUAUAUAACUGAGCUAUAUGUGUCUGUAUGUGAUAUAUAACUGGCUAUAUGUGUCUAUAUGUGAUAUAUAACCGGCUAUAUGUGUCUGUAUGUGAUAUAUAACUGAGCUAUAUGUCUGUAUAUGAUUUAUAACUGGCUAUAUGUGUCUGUAUGUGAUAUAUAACUGAGCUAUAUGUGUCUGUAUGUAAUAUAUAACUGGGCUAUAUGUGUCUGUAUGUGAUAAAUUACUGGACUAUAUGUGUCUGUAUGUGACAUAACUGGGCUACAUGUGUCUGUAUGUAAUAUAUAAGUUGGCUAAUUAUAUCUGUAUUUGAUUUAUAACUGGCUAUAUGUCUCUGUAUGUGAUAUAUAACUGAGUUAUAUGUGUCUGUAUGUGAUAUAUUACUGGACUAUAUGUGUCUGUAUGUGAUAUAUUACUGGACUUUAUGUGUCUGUAUGUGAUAUAUAAGUGGGCUAUAUGUGUCUGUAUUUGAUUUAUAACUGAGCUAUAUGUGUCUGUAUGUGAUAUAUUACUGGACUAUAUGUGUCUGUAUUUGAUAUAUAACUGGGCUAUAUGUGUCUGUAUGUGAUAUAUAAGUGGGCUAAAUAUAUCUGUAUUUGAUUUAUAACUGGCUAUAUGUCUCUGUAUGUGAUAUAUAACUGGGCUAUAUGCGUCUGUAUUUGAUUUAUAACUAGCUAUAUGUGUCUGUAUGUGAUAUAUAACUGAGCAAUAUGUGUCUGUAUGUGAUAUAUAACUGGGCUAUAUGUGUCUGUAUGUGAUAUAUAACUGAGCUAUAUGUGUCUGUAUUUGAUUUAUAACUGGCUAUAUGUGUCUGUAUGUGAUAUAUAACUGAGUUAUAUGUGUCUGUAUGUGAUAUAUAACCGGCUAUAUGUGUCUGUAUUUGAUUUAUAACUAGCUAUAUGUGUCUGUAUGUGAUAUAUAACUGAGCAAUAUGUGUCUGUAUGUGAUAUAUAACUGGGCUAUAUGUGUCUGUAUGUAAUAUAUAACUGGGCUAUAUGUGUCUGUAUGUGACAUAUAACUGGGCUAUAUGUGUCUGUAUGUGACAUAUAACUGGGCUACAUGUGUCUGUAUGUGAUAUAUAAGUGGGCUAAAUAUGUGUCUGUAUGUGAUAUAUAACUGAGCUAUAUGUGUCUGUAUUUGAUUUAUAACUGGCUAUAUGUGUCUGUAUGUGAUAUAUAACUGGGCUAUAUGUGUCUAUAUGUGAUGUAUAACUGGGCUAUAUGUGUCUAUAUGUGAUAUAUAACUGGGCUAUAUGUGUCUGUAUGUGAUAUAUUACUGAGUUAUAUGUGUCUGUAUGUGAUAUAUAAGUGGGCUAUAUGUGUCUGUAUGUGAUAUAUAACCGGCUAUAUGUGUCUGUAUGUAAUAUAUAACUGGGCUAUAUGUGUCUGUAUGUGACAUAUAACUGGGCUAUAUGUGUCUGUAUGCGACAUAUAACUGGGCUACAUGUGUCUGUAUGUGAUAUAUAAGUGGGCUAAAUAUGUGUCUGUAUGUGAUAUAUAACUGAGCUAUAUGUGUCUGUAUUUGAUUUAUAACUGGCUAUAUGUGUCUGUAUGUGAUAUAUAACUGGGCUAUAUGUGUCUAUAUGUGAUGUAUAACUGGGCUAUAUGUGUCUAUAUGUGAUAUAUAACUGGGCUAUAUGUGUCUGUAUGUGAUAUAUUACUGAGUUAUAUGUGUCUGUAUGUGAUAUAUAAGUGGGCUAUAUGUGUCUGUAUUUGAUUUAUAACUGGCUAUAUGUGUCUGUAUGUGAUAUAUAACUGAGCAAUAUGUGUCUGUAUGUGAUAUAUAACUGGCUAUAUGUGUCUAUAUGUGAUAUAUAACCGGCUAUAUGUGUCUGUAUGUGAUAUAUAACUGGGCUAUAUGUGUCUAUAUGUGAUAUAUAACUGGGCUAUAUGUGUCUGUAUUUGAUUUAUAACUGGCUAUAUGUGUCUAUAUGUGAUAUAUAACUGGGCUAUAUAUGUCAUGUAGGCCUCACCAUUCAGCCUGAACCAGCGUUUCGGGCUGGCUAAUAUCAAUUAUGUGCCAUUUAUUGACUAGGAGUGGCCAGCUGACACUCUCAGCCAAUAAAUGAUGACUAGAUUGGCUUCUGGCUUGGUUUACUACAUUACUGGAUAACUGGACCAGGGUACUCCUGGUACCAUAGACACAGUGGUCUGUAGUGGUUAUGGUGCAUAAAGUAACCCCUUAGGGUAAAUCAAUGUCACACUUACACAAGUCUUUUUGCCAUAGUCUGGUGGGUCACAUAGAAACACAUGCUUAUACAUUAGGGUCUCCUGUGAUCAAUAUACAAUGAAGGCCUUUUAGUAAAGUCGGAAUAACCAAGUAUUCAAUGGGACGACCAAAAUAACUGGAAAAUUCCACACUCUUCAGUUUUCAAUUCAACUCUUAAAAUGAACUUUCAAAAAACAUAAUUUCCUUUGAUUUCACUUUAAUUCUGUACGAUUUCCACUUUAGUGAGAGCCCUUGUAAUGCUGUGUGCACAGAUGUGUACCAUUAAUUGUUAUGACAUUGUAACAAACUGAGUUUAGACCAUAUUUGAAUGUGCUGCAGUUUGUAGUUAUGAUUGUGUCUUGUUAUAGAAUGUGUGUAACACAAACAGAAUCUGUCAAUUAAUAUGUAAACAAUUUGCCUACACAAUGAACACACGUGUGUGAUUUAAUUUCUUGGGAAUCUGUAAAUGAGGAUUAAGAUGGGCCAAGCGCUCUAUAGCAGUGAUUAUUUGUAGCUAUUCUCCAACUUUCAGUGUGUGUCGUCAGAUUGAACAAUUGGUACUUUUACAAACGUAAAAAAAAAAAUGACAGACUCCAGACACAUAAAGAACGUCAACAAGCUAUGUGGACUGUAUGGAGUGUUCCCUUAAUAUUCGCCGUUAUUAACGUAACUACACAAAGCACUAGUGCAUAACUCCCAACAUUGAAAGGAAUACAAUUGGGAUACGCUGGCCAGUCUGAGGGGGCAUCACCACUGACAAGUCUUGCAUCACAGGUGGGACAAUAGGGAACUAAAUCGAGAAGGCGGGCCAGGACCCUGAAAAUUCCACUGAAUAAAAUUAUACAUUGUACAUUGAUCUUUGUACCUUGAUUUCUGGUGUUUUACACAUAUUUACUACACGUAUCUGUAACAAUUUUGUUUCAGCUAGUCAUUUUAUUUUCAGCUAGUUUGCGUCUAUUUGUGGCAUGUGGCAUGUGGCGACCUACCAGUGGUUUGGUUACUGGUUGCUGGCCCAUAUUACACAGAAUUAAAGAAUUUCUCUGUACUGGGGAAAGGGUAGCAAGGAAAAAAGGACAGAAGCUUAUUUGUUAAUGCGUAGCAGAAAUUUGGAUUUUUGGGGAUGAAUCAUCGGAUCUUCUUAUAAUGUACAGUGGAAUAAUAUACGUGUUUUGUACUAUAUACUGUAUAGAAAAAAAUAUAUAAUAUAACUCAGACAUGGGUUUCAUACAGAAAACAAGACAACCCAAUGUUCCUGCACUGACACUUGGAUACUUACCUACACAGUCCGUCCUCCAUAAGUUGUUACCUAAAACACAGUUUUUUGAUGAUUCAAAUACCAGCUUUAACCUGUUUUCUAAAGGAGAAUUUCAGCCAAUAAAUGACUUUAAAUAUAGAUGAAAUUGAUAACUUCUAAGCCUCAGCGACCCCUGGUGUUGGCCAAAUCAUGCAGAAAUGAACAUGAACUGACUGAUGGUGCAUCAUAACCACAGCAAUGACAUGUAGUGGUUAUGGUGUUCAGACUGCCCUUUAAAUAAUGUAAGCAAUCUUAUGUUAUUAAUAUCAGCCUUUUUAUUUGUUUAUUUCCUUUUGUUAUAUAAAUAUGUAGAUAUAUUCAAAUAAUUUUGACUGCAUACUCUGCUAGUAUCAAUUAGUUAUUCAUACUGUUUAUUCCUUAGCUGAAUACAUAUCAGGAUUUAUUAACUAAACACAGUAUUGUAGGAGAUUAAAAACCAAGAAUUGCAGAACUGGGUUAACAAAAGCACAUUCUGAAUGGAUCUGAGGUGAAGAAUUUCCAUAACUUUUUUGGCCUCAGUUUUGUAGUUUGAUUUUCAGUUCCAUAUAAUUCAAUGUUUGAUUAUUUAGUUUGCAUUAACCCGUAUGGGGCUGUAGGUUUAGAGAGGCCUAACUGCACAUAUUGCACUUUUAUUGCACCAUGUAUGACAUCGAAGGAUUUAGAUUGGCUAAACACUAAACUGGGGCUCAAAAUAACACGUUUGUUAAGGUAUUAAUCAUAAAAGUUUUUGCACUGCAUGAGCACUUUAUAACACAAAUUGGAUUCUGGUUGUAAUUUGAAUUUUUUCGAACGUUGGGACACUCCUGAAAGUGAAAUUUCUCAAAUCACUUGUUGGUUUUUUUUAAGCACUACAUUAUAAUCGUAUAUCUUAUGUUUUUAGAGUGUUUUUGAGGUUGACAUUGGACUGUGGUUAGUAGCUCAGAGAUUUAAGAUACACCAUUACAAAUUAUUUUAAAGAACUUUUUAUAUACCUCAACAUCACUAAAUUGUGGCUACUUGACAACCAGCUGGCAAUAUUUAAAUAUAAAUCUCUGAUCGAGCUGUAGAGUUGUAUACAUUUUUUCGAGAUUCCCCGCUAGUUUGGUUACUUUUUUCCUUAAUUCUGAAAGCCUGAUAUUAAAAGCCAGUCCUCCAAAUGUGAAACCGUAUAGAGCUGUGUGAGUUCCCAUACUCCUCCGAGAAAAAUCAUGUGUUUUGCUUCCUCAUGUUUCUGCUGUCUUGAAUCCAAACUACCAAACCAGCGGCUUUUGGAAAAAACAGUUCCCAGGCUUUGUCCCCCGCUGGCGAGAUCCUUGUCGAUUGAGAUGCAGGAACAAAUACUGAUGGUUGAUGGGAUCAGUCAGGAAUCUUGGCAAAUAGAUUAUAUUUUCUAUUUUGAUCUCUAGUAAAAUAAACCAGAUUGUGAUAUGCGUUCAGUUGGAGCCACUGUGUUGGGCCUUCCAUAAUCUGGAGAUUAUAGUGUUACAGUGUUAAAUAUAAAGAAAGAUUCUCCUGGUUUUCCACGGCUAAUCAUAAUGCAUUUUCCAUUUCAGCUUUUAGUAGUGAAACAGCACUGAUUUCGGAGACUGGAG